GCGGAGGUGUUGACGCGCCUAGUCGGGAU
RNAcentral lists this small RNA (29 nucleotides) under Bombyx mori (domestic silkworm). Its description in RNAcentral is "ovarian small RNA-16932". The record is from RNAcentral. Lineage: Eukaryota; Metazoa; Arthropoda; Insecta; Lepidoptera; Bombycidae.